RNAcentral lists this non-coding RNA (102 nucleotides) under Chishuiella changwenlii. Its description in RNAcentral is "SAM-I sequence". It matches the Rfam family "SAM riboswitch aptamer (S box leader)". From Rfam's summary of the family: The SAM riboswitch is found upstream of a number of genes which code for proteins involved in methionine or cysteine biosynthesis in Gram-positive bacteria. The record is from RNAcentral. Lineage: Bacteria; Pseudomonadati; Bacteroidota; Flavobacteriia; Flavobacteriales; Weeksellaceae.
AAUUUAUCAAGAAAAGUGGAGGGAAAUGGCCCGUUGAAGCUUUAGCAACCUGAUUAUAUUAUCAAGGUGCUAAUUCCAGCCUCGUAAGAGGAGAGAUAAUAA